GAUGAACGCUGGCGGCGUGCCUAACACAUGCAAGUCGAACGGAAAGACGAUGAGCUUGUGCCGUUCACGUUAGCGGAGGGCGGGUGUGUAACGCGUGGAUAACGUACUUAUCUGUCGGGGAUAAUUACGGAAAACCGGAGAUAAUACCAGAGAAUAUAUUGCACCGCGGGGGGCAAUGGAGAGUGACGGCGUUGGGGUCUGUAAUAGAUGGAUACGCGCUGGAUUGGCUAGUUGGGAAGGUAACAGCUUACCAAGGGUACGAUGCGUAGCCGACCGGAGGGGGUGAUCGGCCACACUGGAGCUGAGCCACGGUCCAGACUACUACGGGAGGCAGCAGUAGGGAAUCUUACGCAAUGGGCGAAAGCCUGACGCAGCAACCCCGCGUGAGUGAUGAAGGCCUUCGGUUCGUAAAGCCCUGUUAUUGGGGAAGAACAGAUGUCGACUUAACCAAAGCCGUCGUGACGGUACCUAAUCAGAAAGCACCGGCUAACUACGUG
RNAcentral lists this ribosomal RNA (497 nucleotides) under uncultured bacterium. RNAcentral describes it as "partial 16S ribosomal RNA". It matches the Rfam family "Bacterial small subunit ribosomal RNA", at positions 28 to 507 of the family's 1533-position model. The record is from RNAcentral.